RNAcentral lists this ribosomal RNA (253 nucleotides) under uncultured bacterium. RNAcentral's name for it is "partial 16S ribosomal RNA". It matches the Rfam family "Bacterial small subunit ribosomal RNA", at positions 524 to 776 of the family's 1533-position model. The record is from RNAcentral.
UACGGAGGAUCCAAGCGUUAUCCGGAUUUAUUGGGUUUAAAGGGUGCGUAGGCGGCCUAUUAAGUCAGGGGUGAAAGACGGUAGCUCAACUAUCGCAGUGCCAUUGAUACUGUAAGUCUUGAAUUCGGUCGAAGUGGGCGGAAUAUGACAUGUAGCGGUGAAAUGCUUAGAUAUGUCAUAGAACACCGAUAGCGAAGGCAGCUCACUAGGCCUGGAUUGACGCUCAGGGACGAAAGCGUGGGGAGCAAACAGG